Molecule: ribosomal RNA, 266 nt
Filed under: uncultured bacterium
Lineage: Bacteria
Description: partial 16S ribosomal RNA
Source: RNAcentral
NNGUGANAGGGAANNAAAGUGGGGGGGAANNGAGANNGAGGGAGGAAGGGAGGGGAAGGAUUAAUGCAAGGAGAGAAGUGAGAGCGAGAAGGAAGGAGAAGUAGGGAAAAGAGGGGCAGUGUUGGAAGAGUAAAAAUAGGGGUGGAAAGGAGUAGGGAAGGGAAGGAAGGAGGGAGGAGGAUGAGUGGGAUAAUGAGGGGGGGUGAGGAGGAGAAAAAAUAGAGAGGAACGGUAUGGGAAGGUUUAGGGGGAGGGGAGACGGUGAU